CGCCCCCCUUCCCCGACUUCCCCUUUUUUUCUUUCUCGGGUUUGACAAUACUUAAUAGGUGCUGGCCCGGCCAUUUAGUAUUACCGUUGUUAUUCAUCUACCCCAACUCGCCUAGAGCUAUUUGUUUUGAAACCAUUAUCAUCUCAUGUUAUUCUGUGUACAUUCUUCUCACUGCUUCAAGUCGCAAUCCUAGCCAAAAGCAGAACCCGCUGUCGUGUCCCUAUUUUCCGUUCUUUGGACUUACACACAAAUUACACACACCGCUCUAGCUCAUGGAUGGCCUUCGCAUGCACCUUUAAUGCUGCCAUUACUGCCUGAACAGUUUACUUAUUUUCCAUUCUUCGGUACUUAAAUAUGUAUAUAAAUAUAUAUAAAAUAAAUCCAUACAAAUCCUGCAAACUAAUAGAAUGUCGUCGGUAUACCCAAUACGUCUUCAAACCACUGAUCAUCGCCCAAAUCCAUCGACUGCAUCCAGGACAUCUGACCU
This 487-nucleotide small RNA is filed under the name Histoplasma capsulatum. RNAcentral describes it as "hypothetical RNA". The record is from RNAcentral. RNAcentral also lists the same sequence under 1 other name. Lineage: Eukaryota; Fungi; Ascomycota; Eurotiomycetes; Onygenales; Ajellomycetaceae.